Molecule: ribosomal RNA, 844 nt
Filed under: uncultured bacterium
Lineage: Bacteria
Description: bacterial SSU rRNA
Rfam family: Bacterial small subunit ribosomal RNA
Source: RNAcentral
AGAGUUUGAUCCUGGCUCAGGAUGAACGCUAGCGGCAGGCCUAAUACAUGCAAGUCGAACGCGAUUGAGGAGCUUGCUCCUCAUGAGAGUGGCGUACGGGUGCGUAACGCGUGAGCAACCUACCAUUGUCUGGGGGAUAGCCCGAAGAAAUUCGGAUUAAUACCGCAUAACAUCAUUGAACAGCAUUGUUUAAUGAUCAAACAUUUAUGGGACAACGAUGGGCUCGCGUGACAUUAGCUAGUUGGAGUGGUAACGGCACACCAAGGCUACGAUGUCUAGGGGAUCUGAGAGGAUGACCCCCCACACUGGGACUGAGACACGGCCCAGACUCCUACGGGAGGCAGCAGUAAGGAAUAUUGGUCAAUGGAGGCAACUCUGAACCAGCCAUGCCGCGUGCAGGAAGAAUGCCCUCUGGGUUGUAAACUGCUUUUACCAGGGAAUAAACCCUUCUACGUGUAGAAGGCUGAAUGUACCUGAGGAAUAAGGAUCGGCUAACUCCGUGCCAGCAGCCGCGGUAAUACGGAGGAUCCAAGCGUUAUCCGGAUUUAUUGGGUUUAAAGGGUGCGUAGGCGGCUUGUUAAGUCAGGGGUGAAAGACGAUGGCUCAACCAUCGCAGUGCCUUUGAUACUGACGAGCUUGAAUGUACUUGAGGUAGGCGGAAUGUGACAAGUAGCGGUGAAAUGCAUAGAUAUGUCACAGAACACCGAUUGCGAAGGCAGCUUACUAAAGUAUGAUUGACGCUGAGGCACGAAAGCGUGGGGAUCAAACAGGAUUAGAUACCCUGGUAGUCCACGCCCUAAACGAUGAAUACUCGAUGUUGGCGAUAUACAGUCAGCGUCCAAGC